AUUUUUUUACAGCCAGUCAGACUCAAUCAACCUAUCGACUUGAAUGAUCUCUGUAACAAGCAGGAGGUGACAUUUGAGAUAAAACCUGAAGGCGAAUAUGACCAUGUUGAAAAAACCUACUUUGAGCCUGAUGAAGUUUUUCAUCAACUCAACAAAGAGUGCAUAAACGUUGAAGAAAGCACUGAGGACCCAUUUGAUGCUCAGAUUUUAAAGUCGGAAGAUGUCAGCGAUGGGCAUGGCCUAGUGUGGAAAAAGAUUGAUGUCCC
This is a long non-coding RNA of Priapulus caudatus, 266 nucleotides long. RefSeq lists it as uncharacterized. NCBI's taxonomy places the organism in Eukaryota, Metazoa, Priapulida, Priapulimorpha, Priapulimorphida, Priapulidae. The transcript is spliced from 3 exons. The record is from RefSeq and is a predicted model, not a curated record.